Molecule: long non-coding RNA, 663 nt
Organism: Fundulus heteroclitus (mummichog)
Lineage: Eukaryota; Metazoa; Chordata; Actinopteri; Cyprinodontiformes; Fundulidae
Exons: 3
Source: RefSeq, a predicted model, not a curated record
CAAAACUGAGAGUUUAGAUGAAGUUUUCCUUUUAACAAGAUGGAGUCUUUGAAAUUGACUCAAUUAUGUUUUAUGCAUGACUUUCUUGUUACCUAACGUACUAUUUUAUGUUUAGGUUGAAGCAGUUCCAAUAAUUACUGUAUGGUAGUCUAAGAGAUACAUAAACUAAAACAGUUAAUGAGGAAAAUAAUAUUCAGAAAAGCAUGCGUCUUACAAAUAUGGUGGAAGGAACCGGUGAUAGACCUGGAAGGACUGACGCCAUUUUGACUUUUAUUGCAAGUUAAAAAUGUCGUAGACUUUGAACAGAUUGGUAUUGUUAUAAAAUGAUUAUAACAGUACUGUGUGUUUAACAGGAUAAUGACAUCAAUAAACCGUAGAAUACCACCUAAACGCGAUGCAGCUGAACAUGCAGCAACGGCCAGUGACAAGACAGGAAGGUUGGAAGUGAAGUUCAUCAAUCAUUAUAAAGGACGAGGUGUGUUCGCCACGACUCCUUUUAAAAAAGGAGAUUUUGUGGUGGAGUACAGAGGGGAGUUGAUAAACUAUGAAGAAUCACAAAGGAGGAGGAGACUGUAUCAUAGUGCAUGUGCUGUCUUCAUGUUUGACUUCUUGUGGCAAGAAAGAUGGUGGUGUAUCGAUGCAUCCCGAGAAGAUAACAGUCUU